Molecule: long non-coding RNA, 894 nt
Organism: Pipistrellus kuhlii (Kuhl's pipistrelle)
Lineage: Eukaryota; Metazoa; Chordata; Mammalia; Chiroptera; Vespertilionidae
Exons: 2
Source: RefSeq, a predicted model, not a curated record
UUCUGGGGCCAGUCUUGCCUGGAUUUUUACCCUCUUUACUUUGUUAACGAAGGCAUCAUCAGAUCUUGAAGCAUGAGUGGAUUUCUCUAACUGUAAAGCUGCCAAACUAAGGGUCUUCUGAUGGGGUUCAAUAUAGUGGUGUCCCAGGAGGAAUCCCUAAUUGUGGAGGGGUUUGUGGGAUUAGAUGGCCUCCAAGACCCAAGCUUCUAGAGCUCCAGUCUCUGUGCAGUCCAAGUGUUUUUUUGAAAGUCCUUGCAUUGGGGUCAUCUAAGUUCAGUCAUCUCACUAAUCCCAGUCCCCCUCCAACUUCUCCCUUCCUCCAGACCCUAAGAACUCUAGGUUGUGCUUUGGGUUGCUCCUUCUUCAGUAUUGGGAAGCUUGUAUGAGGAAGUAGAAAUAAGAAAGGAGAAGUAUCUGGAUGUGGGGCAAGAUGAUGGCUUUUGAGAAAAAAAAAAAAAUACCUAGAAGAUCAUAUCAUCAAGCACCAGGAUACUGAAGAUAACAUCUAGGCUCCAGGCCCAGAAAAGCAACAAAACCAGACAAGCAACACCUACCUCAGGACCAGCUGCAUUGGAUAAUGACCAUCUGUCCUGGCACCAACCACUCAAUCAGUGGAGACCUAGUCCCUGAAAGGACAUACCUGGAAAGCUGCCAAAUAUUCUCUUGAGAUCUUUCCCUAAAACCUCCGCCCUUAAACCUUAGGACAGAGGACUCUCCCUCCAGACAGCAAUCCUCUCCUUUCCCUUCUCCCGCCUCCCCAGGCAGGUUACCAUCACCUUCCUUACUCCCAAGUUCCAAGGGCCCUUCCUUUACCUCUAUAACUCCUAAGCCCAUUUCUUUUACAAAUUACUUCUAUCCUGUGAUUUUCCAAAUAUAUGUUCUCUUAGAGUUUGA